GUGGAAAGCCUUUACAAUUAGAUAUGGCCACUAUUUACAAAACUAGACCUAAUUGUGCCAGAGUUAAGGUCCAGGUAGAUAUUGCCGCUAAUCUACCUAAAUUUUUACAUAUGGUCAUAGUAGAUGAAUCUACCAGAGAAAAACAUACAACCAAUGUUAGAAUACAAUAUGUGCAUUGCUAUAGUGUUGCAAAGAAUGUAAGUUACAAGGUCAUAAUAAGAAAGAAUGAAGGAAAUUAAAUCCUAAUCUUAGAAGGCAGUACAAUAAUUCAAAAGAAAAUAAGAAAAAUGAAGAGGGCCAACAACGAGAUGUAGCAACACUAGAGAUUUAUUAACAGGAGGUUGCUGGACCAAGAUAUAAUGAUUUCCCUCCAAAGAUCUUAUCAGUGGUAAAGUUGCUGGUGAUCCAGUUGUUUGGGCUCUUGUGGAAAGAAAGAAACCUAUGAAGAAAGGAAAGAGGUUAACAAAGAUGCAAAAGCUAAUCCAUCAAAGGAGACAAUAGUUACAAAUAACAAGUUCAAAUCCUGGAAGGAGGAGAGAAAAGAGAUAGAAGAGGAGCAACUGGAUAAUCUAAAAAAUGAGGAGAAAGGGUGGAAAGGGAAGAAGAGAAUAAAUAGAGAGAAGAUUUAAGCUUACAUUCAAAUGAAAUGGUUCAAAUCUGUAAGCAACAACAGAUUUCCCUCGCAGUAGGUGAACAAAAUGGAAUAAAUAUAACAGAGUAGGAAGUUCUAAAAGACACUCAAUAAUAGAUUAUUUAUAGUAAGAGAUAAUUGCCAAUCAGACAAUUUACAACAUAAGUAGAAUUCAACAAUUGACAUACCAAAUGUGCAGAGUUUAGAAAAUAAAGAAGAGAUGGAGAAAGGAAAUAAACAAAAAUUCCCAUGUAAAAGAGAGAUAUGUCAGAUCACAGAUGAUCAAAUUGAACUACACUUGCAAAUGCUGAAUUCCAUCAGCCUUUACAAAUUGAUAGUUUUGGAGUGGUUGAACAUGUAAGAGUAUCAUUGUUCCCAUUUUAAAAUUCCACAAAUAGUUUUAAUAUUGUAGUAGAUAUAGAGGUCCCAGAGAGGUAGGUGGUUGUACAUAGAAAAUAACUUUCUCUAAUCAAGAUUGUGAAUGAUUUGGUUUCUCAUAAGGCAACUGAGAUAACAAUAACACAUUCUAGUAUGAAGAUUAAUAACCAGCUAUAAAAAGAACAACCAACAACCAAAAGAAGAUUAUGAAUAAGAAAUGAAUGAUAUAAAUAUGAAAAAUAUCAUGAAACAUGUAGAUUUAUGUCCAACAAAUAAGAUGAAGGAAAAGAAAAUAAGAGCCAAGGCUGAUAAUAGUAAACCUACUUGGGUCUUACCAUUGAGGGGGUCAAGGCUAGUUCCAACUGCGUUGCAAAGCUCUCUUUCAGAAUAUUAGAUCUGUGAGAGCUCAUCAUGCUUUUCACAAAGUUCAAAUAUUGUACAGACAUAAUAAAUUUUUCAAUAUUGCAUUAAUGGAACCUUUUCAAGCACCUUGCUAGAUUCAAAGGUACAAGAGAAGGUUUGGUAUGCAAUAUUCAAACUAUAAUCAAAAUGAAAAAGAUGGAUUUAUUCUCAGCAAGAUAUUCAGGUCACAAUGUUAGUUAAUUCUGAUCAACAAUUGACUACUUAGAUCAACUUUGUGGAUGGAAGAAAAAUUAUUACCACAAUAGUAUAUGCAAAGUGUGAUGUUAUUGACAAAUUAGAUUUCCCAAAUGAUAUUUACUCAUUAAGUGAUAGUAUGAGAUUACCAUGGUUGUUAGGAGGUGAUUUCAAUGUCAUUUUGGAUGAGGAUGAGAAAAUUAGAGGGUUGCCUAUUUACCCUCAAGAAUAUUAAGAUUUUGCAUUUUGUGUAAAUUAUUGUGAACUUUUUGAUAUCAAAUUUAAAGGGAUCCCAUUCACAUGGUGGGAUAGUAGAAUUGAUGGUGCUUGUCUAUUUAAAAGGUUGGAUAGGUAUGUCUGAUGAAUCAAAGGUUGUUGAGGAUGUUUGUGAAUGUUAAAGUUAAACAUUUAGCUAGAACUGGUUCUAAUCAUGCUCCUAUUUUGUUAUCAUGUGGGGGAUUAGAUACACAUAUUUUUUAGCCCUUUUAAUUCCAAAAAAUUUGGACAGAAGAUAAGGAUUUCAAAAGGGUGGUAACUGACAGCUGAAAGUGUGAAGAAUCGGGUAACUAUUUCAUUAAAUUGAAACAAAAGAUGAAAAAUGCUAAGCUGGCACUUUCAAGAUGGAGUAGAGAAAAGUUUGGUGAUAUUUUUAAUUAGUUGAUGACUAGAGAAGAUAUUGUAAGGAUUAUUUAUUUGGAUAAAAUCUUUCUUCAGAAAAUAGAAUGAUACUUCAACUUGCAUAGGCUGAAUUAAAAAAUUACCUUCACUAUGAAGAAAAGUAUUGGAGGCAGAAAGUAAGGGUAAGAUGGUUUGUUGAAGGUGAAAAAUACACUAAGUUUUUCUAUAACUUAGUUAAUGGUAGGAGAAAAAGAUUGCACCUAAAUAGAAUUGGCAAGGAAGAUGGGGUUGUGCUGAAGGAAAGGAAGAAGUUGCUGCUGAGGCCAUUAAAUUUUAUCAGAAAUAGUUCACUACUGAGACUGAAGUGGUAGAUUUAACUUUGCUUAAAUUUUUCCAACACUAGUUAUUUCUAGGGAUAAUCAAUUGUUAAAUUCCAUGCCAAAAGGAGAAAAGAUUAAAAACGUGGUUUAUGAGGUUAAUGGUGAUAGUACUAGUGGUCCUGAUGGUUUCACAGGGCAAUUUUAUCAAUCUUGAUGGGGUAUUAUGGGAUCUGACAUAUGUGAAGUUGUGGUUGCUUUUUUUUUUGGCAGGAUGUACUUUGCCAAAGUCAAUUACUCAUAUUAACUUGGUCCUACUGCCCAAAAAAGAGAAUAUGUAGUUUUUUUUCUGACUUGAGAUCAAUUAGUUUGAGCAAUUUUCUUAACAAGGUACUGUCUAGAAUCAUUCAUGAUAGAAUAGAGAAAGUAAUUCCCAAAAUUAUUUCUCCAAACCAGUCAGGGUUUGUGAAAGGAAGACGUAUUACAGAGAAUGUUUUAUUGGU
Molecule: long non-coding RNA, 3044 nt
Filed under: Capsicum annuum
Lineage: Eukaryota; Viridiplantae; Streptophyta; Magnoliopsida; Solanales; Solanaceae
Description: long non-coding RNA (CANN_LNC001201)
Source: RNAcentral